Molecule: non-coding RNA, 256 nt
Organism: Ciona intestinalis (vase tunicate)
Lineage: Eukaryota; Metazoa; Chordata; Ascidiacea; Phlebobranchia; Cionidae
Source: RefSeq, a predicted model, not a curated record
ACAUCGCAUUUUGUAUGGUUUCAUAUAGGAGUUCCAACAUUGGUAGAAACGAUCACAAUCAUCGUUCACGGGAAGUGGUAUCAUAAUAGGAUGGGGAAGAUGGAACGCCUUUUUAUUCUAUUUUCGGGGUGGAGGAAUAUGGGACACUUUUUCAUUCUCUUUUCCCGUACCAUUUUGCAGUAAACACUUUUUACUACGAAACGGGACGAGAAAAUAGAAUAAAAAGUUGUUCCAUCUUCCCCCAUCCUACUAUAUC